RNAcentral lists this ribosomal RNA (410 nucleotides) under uncultured bacterium. RNAcentral describes it as "bacterial SSU rRNA". It matches the Rfam family "Bacterial small subunit ribosomal RNA", at positions 8 to 420 of the family's 1533-position model. The record is from RNAcentral.
AGAGUUUGAUCCUGGCUCAGAUUGAACGCUGGCGGCAUGCCUUACACAUGCAAGUCGAACGGCAGCACGGGAGCAAUCCUGGUGGCGAGUGGCGAACGGGUGAGUAAUGUAUCGGAACGUACCUUUCAGUGGGGGAUAACGUAGCGAAAGUUACGCUAAUACCGCAUAUUCUGUGAGCAGGAAAGCAGGGGAUCGCAAGACCUUGCGCUGAUUGAGCGGCCGAUAUCAGAUUAGCUAGUUGGUGAGGUAAAGGCUCACCAAGGCGACGAUCUGUAGCGGGUCUGAGAGGAUGAUCCGCCACACUGGAACUGAGACACGGUCCAGACCCCUACGGGAGGCAGCAGUAGGGAAUUUUGGACAAUGGGGGCAACCCUGAUCCAGCCAUGCCGCGUGAGUGAAGAAGGCCUUCG